RNAcentral lists this ribosomal RNA (506 nucleotides) under uncultured bacterium. RNAcentral's name for it is "partial 16S ribosomal RNA". It matches the Rfam family "Bacterial small subunit ribosomal RNA", at positions 29 to 523 of the family's 1533-position model. The record is from RNAcentral.
AGUGAACGCUGGCGGUAGGCCUAACACAUGCAAGUCGAACGGCAGCACAGGAGAGCUUGCUCUCUGGGUGGCGAGUGGCGGACGGGUGAGGAAUACAUCGGAAUCUACUUUUUCGUGGGGGAUAACGUAGGGAAACUUACGCUAAUACCGCAUACGACCUACGGGUGAAAGCAGGGGACCUUCGGGCCUUGCGCGAUUGAAUGAGCCGAUGUCGGAUUAGCUAGUUGGUGGGGUAAAGGCCCACCAAGGCGACGAUCCGUAGCUGGUCUGAGAGGAUGCUCAGCCACACUGGAACUGAGACACGGUCCAGACUCCUACGGGAGGCAGCAGUGGGGAAUAUUGGACAAUGGGCGCAAGCCUGAUCCAGCCAUACCGCGUGGGUGAAGAAGGCCUUCGGGUUGUAAAGCCCUUUUGUUGGGGAAGAAAUCCAGCUGGCUAAUACCCGGUUGGGAUGACGGCACCCAAAGAAUAAGCACCGGCUAACUUCGUGCCAGCCGCCGCGGUAA